Molecule: long non-coding RNA, 446 nt
Filed under: Rattus norvegicus (Norway rat)
Lineage: Eukaryota; Metazoa; Chordata; Mammalia; Rodentia; Muridae
Description: long non-coding RNA NONRATT000328
Source: RNAcentral
GGACCCAGACAUGGAGCUUCGGGAAGAAGCUUGGUCUCCAGGGCCACUGGAUUCUGAGGACCAGCAGAUGGCCAGUCAUGAGAACCCAGCUAGCUAUUGGUGAGCACCCCUUUUGUGCCCCAUAUCCUGCUUUGGUUCCAUAAGUACCAAUUCUGCUUCAUGGUUGUUCCUCACGUGGUGGGCCUACAAACCUAGGAUCUGGAAGUUGUAAUGAACAAGGGAAGGACUGCAUUAUUGAGUUGAAAAACUCACCUGUGGGUUAUAUGGAGCCUAGGUUUGUUGGGUAAGACCCAUCCUGGCCCACCAACACCCUCCUCCCUCUCCCUGGUGAUUCCAGCCUGAUGACAAGAAAGCUCAUGAGAAGGCACAGUGGGCCAAGUUGUGUGUCUGACACCUGGAGCAGACGGCAUUGGCUUCUUCCAUAUUAAUAAAUUGGUGCUUACAAC